Molecule: long non-coding RNA, 1039 nt
Filed under: Phasianus colchicus (ring-necked pheasant)
Lineage: Eukaryota; Metazoa; Chordata; Aves; Galliformes; Phasianidae
Description: lncRNA (ENSPCLG00000017175.1)
Source: RNAcentral
UUUCCUAUUGUCUCCAUCCCCAUCCUCUCAUUCUCCCGUCUCUCCACCAUCCUGUCCCAUAUCCAUCCCAUUCCAUCCCAUCCCUGUUCCCAUCCCAAUGCUUUUCCCAUUCCUGUCCGUAUUCCAUCCUUUAUCCCAUCCCCACCCCAUCCCACCCCCAUCCCCAUCUCUACCCCACAGAUGGAGCAGAUCAAACGCGCCAACCGCCUCUACACAUCGGACACCAUUUUCCUGAAGCCCACCCUCCUCAUCCCCCCCCCGGGGUGCCCCAAUGAGGCUCCCAUGGGGUCAGCGCCGUCGGACCCUACAACCACCACCCCCACCGCCCCCACCACCCCCUCCUCCACGCCACACCACGACCUCACAGCCAGCGACUUCCUGCGCCGCCUGGACGCCGACAUCGGCCGCUCCAAAGCAGCGGUGGUGGAGCAGCAGCUGCGUGCGGGUGUCCCCAAGGCCGCCGUCCCGCUCCCCCCCCCAGGGCCGUCCCUGCGGGGUCCCCAACUCGGCGCUCAGCCCCUCACCCGGACACGGCGAGCAGCUGCACUGCGUGACACCGAGGAUGAGAUCUUCACAUUGUGACUGUGGGGACAUCAUUAUGGCCGUGGGGACAUCAUUAUGGCCAUGGGGGCACUGUGACUGUGGGAAUGGGAUGGAAUGGGGGGGGGGCUUCCACCGGGUCGUGCCCCACUUUGGGGUCAGCCAAACCCAUGGACUGGAGCCUCCCCUCCCACUGGAAUGGGGUUCACCCAGUGAUGCUUUCCCUCUGAUCCUAUUUAUUUGUAUGGCUUUGUCCCUUUGGGGUCUUUGUCCUUUGGGGUCUUUGCCUUUGGGGGUGUUUUUGGGGGUGGGGGUCGGGGUCGGUCACCCGUGGGUUUCCCACCCUGCAAUGUGUAAAUAAAAGGGAGCACCGUGGGGACACCACCGUCACAGUUGUGGGGUCACCAUCACUGCUGUGGGAUGUGGGCGCCGGCCCUAUUGGACCCUUCAGGCCGCCAGAGGUCGCCGUGUGCCCUCAUUGCGGGGGGGACACCGCAGA